GUACAAGAGGUGGGCGGAAUUCGUGGUGUAGCGGUGAAAUGCUUAGAUAUCACGAAGAACUCCGAUUGCGAAGGCAGCUCACUGGGGUACAACUGACGCUGAGGCACGAAAGUGUGGGUAUCAAACAGGAUUAGAUACCCUGGUAGUCCACACAGUAAACGAUGAAUACUCGCUGUUUGCGAUAUACAGUAAGCGGCUAAGCGAAAGCGUUAAGUAUUCCACCUGGGGAGUACGCCGGCAACGGUGAAACUCAAAGGAAUUGACGGGGGCCCGCACAAGCGGAGGAACAUGUGGUUUAAUUCGAUGAUACGCGAGGAACCUUACCCGGGCUUGAAUUGCAGUGGAAUAUAUUAGAAAUAGUAUAGCCGUAAGGCCGCUGUGAAGGUGCUGCAUGGUUGUCGUCAGCUCGUGCCGUGAGGUGUCGGCUUAAGUGCCAUAACGAGCGCAACCCUUAUCAUUAGUUACUAACAGGUGAUGCUGAGGACUCUAAUGAGACUGCCGUCGU
Molecule: ribosomal RNA, 505 nt
Filed under: uncultured Bacteroidota bacterium
Lineage: Bacteria; Pseudomonadati; Bacteroidota
Description: bacterial SSU rRNA
Rfam family: Bacterial small subunit ribosomal RNA
Source: RNAcentral